This 500-nucleotide ribosomal RNA is filed under the name uncultured bacterium. RNAcentral describes it as "partial 16S ribosomal RNA". It matches the Rfam family "Bacterial small subunit ribosomal RNA", at positions 29 to 523 of the family's 1533-position model. The record is from RNAcentral.
AUUGAGCGCUGGCGGAAUGCUUUACACAUGCAAGUCGAACGGCAGCACGGGGGCAACCCUGGUGGCGGGUGGCGAACGGGUGAGUAAUACAUCGGAACGUGCCCAGUCGUGGGGGAUAACGUAGCGAAAGUUACGCUAAUACCGCAUACGAUCUACGGAUGAAAGCGGGGGACCGUAAGGCCUCGCGCGAUUGGAGCGGCCGAUGUCAGGUUAGGUAGUUGGUGAGGGAAAGGCUCACCAAGCCGACGAUCUGUAGCUGGUCUGAGAGGACGACCAGCCACACUGGGACUGAGACACGGCCCAGACUCCUACGGGAGGCAGCAGUGGGGAAUUUUGGACAAUGGGCGCAAGCCUGAUCCAGCCAUUCCGCGUGCAGGACGAAGGCCUUCGGGUUGUAAACUGCUUUUGUACGGAACGAAAAGGCUCUGGUUAAUACCUGGGGCUCAUGACGGUACCGUAAGAAUAAGCACCGGCUAACUACGUGCCAGCAGCCGCAGUAA